AUACGUAGGGAGCGAGCGUUGUCCGGAAUUACUGGGCGUAAAGGGUGCGUAGGCGGCAUGGCAAGUCAGAUGUGAAAGCCCCGGGCUUAACUCGGGAACUGCAUUUGAAACUGCUGUGCUUGAGUGCAGGAGAGGAAAGCGGAAUUCCUAGUGUAGCGGUGAAAUGCGUAGAUAUUAGGAGGAACACCAGUGGCGAAGGCGGCUUUCUGGACUGCAACUGACGCUGAGGCACGAAAGCGUGGGGAGCAAACAGGAUUAGAUACCCUGGUAGUCCACGCUGUAAACGAUGGAUACUAGGUGUGGGGGAGCUACAACCUCCGUGCCGGAGCUAACGCAAUAAGUAUCCCGCCUGGGGAGUACGGUCGCAAGGCUGAA
RNAcentral lists this ribosomal RNA (375 nucleotides) under uncultured bacterium. RNAcentral's name for it is "bacterial SSU rRNA". It matches the Rfam family "Bacterial small subunit ribosomal RNA", at positions 523 to 898 of the family's 1533-position model. The record is from RNAcentral.